RNAcentral lists this long non-coding RNA (402 nucleotides) under Mytilus galloprovincialis (Mediterranean mussel). Lineage: Eukaryota; Metazoa; Mollusca; Bivalvia; Mytilida; Mytilidae. The record is from RNAcentral.
GGUUUGAAGAUUUAUUAAAAAAAGACAUAACUUUCUAUUCAUCAUUAUUUGGUUACAGGAUUACAUCAAGAGAAAGAAGAUAAUGAUACUUAUUCGGUGUAUAUGUAGUACUUAUUACAUGUAUUACAUAAUGUUGUUAUCACUUUUUCGAAUUUUUGUGUUUGUUUGGUUAGUAUUAUUUAUUUUGAAAAUCUUUGAACUUAAUUAUGUAAUACGGUCAUGUGCUUGUAUCGGGCUUGUUUUGCUUUCUCUUAACACUCAAAUGAUAUCUAUUACAAUAAUUUUAGAAAAUGCUAUAUCAUUAUUUUAGUUAAUGAGUAUUAUUUUUUGACUUCAUCAAUAUUAGGACCUUAUAUGACUGUUGUAUACAUCAUGUUUAUUUUGAACCACGUUUUAUUGUAU